Molecule: ribosomal RNA, 270 nt
Filed under: Triticum aestivum (bread wheat)
Lineage: Eukaryota; Viridiplantae; Streptophyta; Magnoliopsida; Poales; Poaceae
Description: partial small subunit ribosomal RNA
Source: RNAcentral
AUGCCUCUGUCUGAUAGGCGGUUGAAGCUCGUUGACUUCCAAGACCUGCUUGACAAGUUAAUUAAGAAGAUUGCUGGUUGGAAGGCUAGGUGGAUCUCCUCCACUGGAAGAAUGGUGUUCGUGAGGUUUGUUCUUUCGGCAAUGCCAAUUUUCCUGCUUCUGGCUGUUCAUCAACCGAAAUGGGUCAUCAAGCAAAUCGAUAAGCUACGUCGUGCUUUUUUAUGGUUUGGCUCUGAUGCUGUCUGCGGUGGCACGUGCCUUGUCCGCUAG